GCGAUGGUGGUAUAGCGGUGAGCAUAGCUGCCUUCCAAGCAGUUGACCCGGGUUCGAUUCCCGGCCAUCGCA
RNAcentral lists this transfer RNA (72 nucleotides) under Pollicipes pollicipes. RNAcentral describes it as "tRNA-Gly". It matches the Rfam family "tRNA". Rfam says of the family: Transfer RNA (tRNA) molecules are approximately 80 nucleotides in length. Their secondary structure includes four short double-helical elements and three loops (D, anti-codon, and T loops). Further hydrogen bonds mediate the characteristic L-shaped molecular structure. tRNAs have two regions of fundamental functional importance: the anti-codon, which is responsible for specific mRNA codon recognition, and the 3' end, to which the tRNAs corresponding amino acid is attached (by aminoacyl-tRNA synthetases). tRNAs cope with the degeneracy of the genetic code in two manners: having more than one tRNA (with a specific anti-codon) for a particular amino acid; and 'wobble' base-pairing, i.e. permitting non-standard base-pairing at the 3rd anti-codon position. The record is from RNAcentral. Lineage: Eukaryota; Metazoa; Arthropoda; Thecostraca; Pollicipedomorpha; Pollicipedidae. RNAcentral also lists the same sequence under 1 other name.